CGCGUAGGCGGCCCCGUAAGUCCGCUGUGAAAGUCAAAGGCUCAACCUUUGAAAGCCGGUGGAUACUGUGGGGCUAGAGUCCGGAAGAGGCGAGUGGAAUUCCUGGUGUAGCGAUGGAAUGCGCAGAUAUCAGGAGGAACACCAAUAGCGAAGGCAGCUCGCUGGGACGGUACUGACGCUAAGGCGCGAAAGCGUGGGAGCGAACA
Molecule: ribosomal RNA, 206 nt
Filed under: uncultured bacterium
Lineage: Bacteria
Description: partial 16S ribosomal RNA
Rfam family: Bacterial small subunit ribosomal RNA
Source: RNAcentral